GUAGUUGACUCCGUGCUCGAGGACACGCUGGCGGCGUGCUUAACACAUGCAAGUCGAACGCUGAAGCCCGCUUCGGUGGGUGGAUGAGUGGCGAACGGGUGAGUAACACGUGGGUAAUCUGCCCUGCACUCUGGGAUAAGCCUUGGAAACGGGGUCUAAUACCGGAUAGGACGCAUGGCCGCAUGGUCUGUGUGUGGAAAGUUCCGGCGGUGUAGGUUGAGCCCGCGGCCUAUCAGCUUGUUGGUGGGGUGAUGGCCUACCAAGGCGACGACGGGUAGCCGGCCUGAGAGGGUGACCGGCCACACUGGGACUGAGACACGGCCCAGACUCCUACGGGAGGCAGCAGUGGGGAAUCUUGCGCAAUGGGCGAAAGCCUGACGCAGCAACGCCGCGUGGGGAUGACGGCCUUCGGGUUGUAAACCUCUUUCGACAUCGACGAAGCCUUCGGGUGACGGUAGGUGUAGAAGAAGCACCGGCUAACUACGUG
RNAcentral lists this ribosomal RNA (487 nucleotides) under uncultured Saccharopolyspora sp. RNAcentral describes it as "bacterial SSU rRNA". It matches the Rfam family "Bacterial small subunit ribosomal RNA", at positions 33 to 507 of the family's 1533-position model. The record is from RNAcentral. Lineage: Bacteria; Bacillati; Actinomycetota; Actinomycetes; Pseudonocardiales; Pseudonocardiaceae.